GGGUGACAGGGCGAGACUCUGUCUCAAAAGAAAAAAAAAUUUUAAAGCCAUCAAACAUAUAUUUCAAUACAAUACUCGAGACUAAAAAUAAUUUCACCUUCCAUGUCCUUUGCUAUGUCUUCAGAUCCAACAAAACAUGUCAAGUCACAAGAAAGAACAGACUUAGAUGGUACAUUAGAGCUGUAAACAUAAAAGAGCUGGUUAGUAAUUGUUCGAAAUCAACAUCCCAGAAUCUUUUCCUGUUCCUAAUGUCAAUGAAACUUGGGGUGGGUUCACUUCUUUUCUUUGGCUACUUCUAGCAGUGUAAAACAUUUUUCACCAAUGGCACUUCUACCUGUCAAAGCCUGCCUGAGACUCAGUGUGGAGACUAAUUUCCAAUAUCUAACUUCUAGGAUGUGACAAGUGGCAGCAGGAUGGCACUGGGGCGCACAGUUCAACUCAAGAUAUCUAUUGAAAUCGAGGCUCCUACCCAGAUAUCUUUAGUGGAUGAAGCAUCAGGAGAGGUUUUUAUCUCAGGGCAAUAAUGGAACUAUCUUGUACACAGGAGACUUCAGAUUGGUGCAAGGAGAAGCUGCUAGAAUGGAGCUUCUGCACUCCGGGGGCAGAGUCAAAGACAUCCAAAGUGUAUAUUUAGAUACUAUGUUGUGUGAUCCAAGAUUUUACCAAAUUCCAAGUCAGGAGGAGUGUUUACGUGGAGUCUUUGAGCUGGUUCAAAGCUGGAUCACUCAGAGCCUGUACCAUGUUGUGUGGCUGAACUGCAAAGCGGCUUAUGGCUAUGAAUAUUUGUUCACCAACCUUAGUGAAGAAUUAGGAGUCCAGAUUCAUGUCAAUAAGCUAGACAUGUUUAGGAACAUGCCUGAGAUCCUUCAUCAUCUCACAACAGACCGCAACACUCAGAUCCAUGCAUGCUGGCACCCCAAGGUACAUGUGUCAGUGGCUCAAGACCUCCAGAAGUUUCCCACCAGAGACCUAGGCUGCGUGUUGCUCUGGAAGAAUAUCACACUGUGCGUGUACGCCUGUCGCGAAAUUCAAUGGAAUGUCAUCCUGCGCCUCCCUGGAUAUGAUGAACAAAGCUCAGAGGAUCCAGAACUGCAGCCGGUCCUCACUGGGCUGUUCCUGUCCAUGUGCCUGGUCACGGUGCUGGGGAACCUGCUCAUCAUCCUGGCCGUCAGCCCUGACUCCCACCUCCACACCCCCAUGUACUUCUUCCUCUCCAACCUGUCCCUGCCUGACAUCGGUUUCACCUCCACCACGGUCCCCAAGAUGAUUGUGGACAUCCAGUCUCACAGCAGAGUCAUCUCCUACGCAGGCUGCCUGACUCAGAUGUCUCUCUUUGCCAUUUUUGGAGGCAUGGAAGAGAGACAUGCUCCUGAGUGUGAUGGCCUAUGACCGGUUUGUAGCCAUCUGUCACCCUCUAUAUCAUUCAGCCAUCAUGAACCCAUGUUUCUGUGGCUUUCUAGUUUUGUUGUCUUUUUUUUUCUCAGUCUUUUAGACGCCCAGCUGCACAACUUGAUUGCCUUACAAAGGACCUGCUUCAAGGAUGUGGAAAUUCCUAAUUUCUUCUGUGACCCUUCUCAACUCCCCAUCUUGCAUGUUGUGGUACCUUCACCAAUAACAUAAUCAUGUAUUUCCCUGCUGCCAUAUUUGGUUUUCUUCCCAUCUCGGGGACCCUUCUCUCUUACGAUAAAAUUGUUUUCUCCAUUCUAAGGGUUUCAUCAUCAGGUGGGAAGUAUAAGGCCUUCUCCACCUGUGGGUCUCACCUGUCAGUUGUUUGCUGAUUUUAUGGAACAGGCAUUGGAGGCUACCUCAGUUCAGAUGUGUCAUCUUCCCCGAGAAAGGCUGCAGUGACCUCAGUGAUGUACACGGUGGUCAUCCCCAUGCUGAACCCCUUCAUCUACAGCCUGAGAAACAGGGAUAUGAAAAGUGUCCUGCGGCAGCCACACGGCAGCACGGUCUCAUCUCAAUAUCUUCUUAUCUGUUCCAUUCCUUUUGUAGUGUGGGUUAAAAAAGGCAGCAAGGUCAAAUAAGAAUGAUGUCACAGGAUGAACGCCCACUGUGAUAUUAGGAGUAAUACCUCCCUAGGAUAUAGAAUAUACUGUCACAGAGUAUACACACAUGGGGUACACCCACGGUGAUAUUAGAAGCAAUAUCUCCCUAAAGUACGAUGAAAAAUAUCACAGGGUGUGCACACUGUGUGAUAUGAGGAGUAAUAUUUACCCUGGAUAUUAUGACUAACAUCAAGCGUGUACACACCAGGGGUACACGCACUGUGAUAUCAGGAGUUGUAUCUCCCUAGGAUAUUAUGAAUACUAUCACAGGGUAUACACUAUGUGUGUACAUCCACUGUGAUAUUUGAAGUAAUAUCUCUCUAUGAGAUUAUAAAUAACAUCAAAGCUUGUACACCCUUGUGACAUAUUAGGAGUAACAUGCUUCUAGGGUAUUGCAGAUCACGCCACAACGUGUACACCUCCUGUGACGUUUUGUACACUCUUUGUGACAUUAAAAGAAACAUCCCCCUAGGAUAUUAUGAAUAAUAAAACAGGAGGGGUACACACAAGGUGUACACAGCCUGUGUCAUCAGGAGUAACAAUUCCCUAGGAUAUUAUGAAUAAUAUCACAGCAGGUGUACACACAUGGUGUACACCCCAUGUGACAUUCGGAAGAGCAUGCCCCUAGGAUAUUAGGAAUAGUAUCACUGGGGUUGAAUACGCAUUUUUAAUGCGUAAUGUCACACCCGGUGACAUUAAAAAUAACGUCCCCCUUGGAUAUUACGAAUAAUAUGACAGGGAGUACACCCCGUGUGACAUGAGGAGUAACACCCCCAAAGGAUAUAACGAAUAAUAUCAGAGGGUGUACGUGCACUGUGACCUUAGUAGUAACAUCUCUUUAGGAUAUUACAAAUAGUAUCACAGGGUGUACAGGCAUUGUGACAUUAGUAGUAACAUCCCGCUGGGAUAUGACGAGUCACAUCACAGGGUGUACACCUCCGUGACAAUAGUAUCAACAUUCCCCUAGAAUACUAUGAAUAAUAUCAAAGGAGGUACAGCCCCUGUGAUUUACGAGUAACAUGUCAAUAGAAUGUUACAACUCAUAUCACUGUGUGACUCUGUGUACACCCCGUGUGACUUUAGGAGUAACAUCCCACAAAGCUAUGAUGAAAAAUAUCACAGGGUGAACACCCCCUGUGACCUGAGGAAUAACAUAGUUUUAGGAUAUUGUGAAUGAUUUGACAAGGUGUACACACCCUGUGACGUUAGGAGCAACAUCCGUCUAGGAUGUUAGGAAGAAUAUCACACGGAACACACCUCCUGUGACAUUAGGAUAUGAUAAAUAAUAUAACAAAGUGUACAUGCAUCGUGACAUGAGGGCUAAUAUCCCUCUGGUACACUAUGAAUAAUAUCACAGGGUGUACCUCCCUGUGACGUUAGGAGUAACAUCCCCCUAGAAUAGUAAGAAUACUAACACAGGGUGUACACCACCUGUGACAUGAGGAGUAUCAUCUCGCUAGAAUAUUACAAAUAAUGUCACAGGGUGUUAUUGUCUGUGCCAAUAGGAGUAUAGACCCCUGGGAAAUUAUGAAUACUAUCACAGGCUGUACAGCCCUGAGACAUUAGGAGUAACAUCUUUCUAGAAUAUCACAAAUAAUAUCACAAUGUGUACACCCAAUGUGUCAUUAAAAGCCAAAUUGCCCUAGGAUAUUAUGAAAUAGAACACAGGGAGUACACCCCGUGUGACAUUAGAAGUAACAUCCCCCGAGGAUAUAAUGAAUAAGAUCAGAGAAUGUACCCGCAUUGGGACAUCAGUAGUAACAUCUCUUCAAGACAAUAUGAAUAAUAUCAAAGGGUGUACACGCAUUGAGAAAUGAGUAGUGAACUCCCGCUAGGAUAUUAGGAAUUUGAUAACAGGAUCUACACGCCCUGUGACAUUAGCAGUAACGUUUUCCUAGAUUACGAAGAAUAUGAAAGGGUGUACAGGACCUGUGAAUUACGAGCAACAUUUCCAUAGCAUAUUGCACGUAGCAUCACUGUGUGAACACGCCGCGUGACGUUAGGGGUAACACCCACAAAAUUAUAAAGAAUAAUUUCACAAGGUGUGCACCCUCUGUGGCAUUAAAAGUAACAUUUCCCUAGAAUAUGACGAAAAUAUCACAGAGUGUACACCCUCUGUGAUAUGAGGAGUGACAUCUUAUGAGGAUAAUAAGAGUAAUUGGACAAGGCAUACAAACCCUGUGACAUAAGGGGUGACAUCCCUCUAGGACAUUAUCGAUAAUAUCAAAAGUAACCUACCACGUGUGACAAUAAAUGCAACCUCCCCUUAGGAGAAUGAGAAUAACACCACAAGGUGUACACACAAUGUGACAUUAUGAUUAAGGUAAAGCUAGAAUAUUGGGAAUAACAUCAUAGUGUACAGAGUCCUGUGACAUCAGGUCUAACAUUCCCCUACAAAAUUACGAAUAAUAUUGAAGGGUGUAUACCCCUGCGACUUUAUCAGCCGCAUCUUGCUAGAAUAUGGAAGAUAAUGUCCCAGGGAGUGAACAGAGGGUGGCAGCAAAGAAAGGAUCCCAGGAAAAAUCAGGGAGUAACAUUACCCUGCUCUCCCCCCUGGAUAUUACGAUCCACAUCGCAGGAGGGUGGGGGGCCACCGAGAUGCGGGGAGUAAUAUCGCACCCCACUCUCCGCCUAGACAUUAGGAGCCACAGCGCAGGGGCGCGGGCGACCAGCGAUGCGGGGAGUAAUAUCACCCGACCAUCCCCCGUGGAUAUUACGAUCCACGACGCAUAGGGGCGGGAGCCCACGCGAUUCGGGGAGUAAAUUCAUCCCUCACUCCAACCCUGGAUAUGAAGACCCACAUUGCCGGGGGGCGGGCGCCCCCCCCACAUAAGGGGAGUAAUAUCAACCCCCACUCCCCAACGGAUAUGACGAACCACAUCGCAGGGGGGCCGACGCCCCCCACCUUGCGGGGAGUAAUAUCACCCCAAUCUCCCACCCUGGAUAUGACGAUCCACAUUGCAGGGGGGCGGGCGCGCUCCGCGAUACCAGGAGUCAUAUCACCACCUUCGCGACUCCGGGAUAUGACGACCCCCAUCGCGGGGGGCGGGGAUUAAAGAGCCAGCCCCUCUUGCCCCCCUGGCUCUUAGGAGCCCCAUCGCAGGGGGGCGAGGCGCCCCCCGCGAUGCGGGGACUAAAGAGCCAGCCCCUCUUGCCCCCCUGGCUCUUAGGAGCCCCAUCGCAGGGGGGCGAGGCGCCCCCCGCAAUGCGGGGACUAAAGAGCCAGCCCCUCUUGCCCCCCUGGCUCUUAGGAGCCGCGGUGGUCUGACAGCCUGUUUAACAUAUUGUGAGUAAUAUCAUCUCCCCCUCUGGUGAUUAUGAACUCUUUCACAGACGGAUUCUAUACCCUCUGUGUAUAGUGGGUGUACAGCCGUCUUUAUUGGGAUUAAUAGCAUCCUCUUCCUCCCUGAGUAUUAAGAAGUGUAUCACAGGGGAGUUUCUACUCCCUGGGAUAUCGCGUGUCAUAUCUUUCUCUCCCACGUUGCAAUUGGAAUCAAUAUCAGUGGGGGCGUGUCCACCUUCUGUGAUAUUGAAUGUCCUAUCGUCCUCUUCCCUCCAGGGUCAUGGGAACAAUAUCCCUGGGGGAUGUCCACUUUCUGCCAUACAUGGAGUCAUAUCUCCCCCUCCGCCUUGGAAUAUUAUUAAGGACCAUCUCACACGGGGGUGUACACUUCCUGCGAUAUUGGGAGUAAUAUCAAGUUCUCGGCCCUUGAGUAUUAGGAUGAAUAUCACAGGGUUGGUGUCCACCUCCUGCUCUGUUAUCGGGAGUCCUAUCUAUCUAUUAUGUGGAGUAAUAUCAUCCUCUCCCUUUCAGGUUAUUAAUAACAAUUUCACAGGCUUGGUGAACACAGCCUGAGAUGCUGGAAUUAUUAUCAUCCUCUCCCCCUCGGGACACUAGGAAGAAUAUCACAGAAUAGGUGUAGACUCCCUGCGAUAUUGGGAGUAGUGUCAUACGCUUCUUCCCUGAAUAUUAGGAGCAAUGUCACCGGGUGGCUGUGCAUUGAUUUCUCUGUUGGCAGUCAUGUCAUACUCUACCCGCUGUGUAUUAGGAUCGGUGUCACAGGGUGAGUGUACACGUACUGCCAUAUGAAAACUAAUAUCAUGCUCUCCAUCCCUGGAUAUUAGGAACAGUAUGACAGGUAGGUGAACACCCCCUGCGGUAUU
RNA transcript from Pan troglodytes (chimpanzee), 6212 nucleotides. It is a transcript of the gene named olfactory receptor 7E24, with no coding region annotated. The transcript has 8 exons. Lineage: Eukaryota; Metazoa; Chordata; Mammalia; Primates; Hominidae. The record is from RefSeq and is a predicted model, not a curated record.